This 712-nucleotide long non-coding RNA is filed under the name Manacus vitellinus (golden-collared manakin). RNAcentral describes it as "lncRNA (ENSMVIG00005013344.1)". The record is from RNAcentral. Lineage: Eukaryota; Metazoa; Chordata; Aves; Passeriformes; Pipridae.
AAGCUAUUGCCUGCUCUGAGUUCCCUCUGCUCAAGGGAAAAGCACUACCCUUGGCAGGAAUUCCCCUUCCUAAAGAGACCGCCAUGUCCAUACUCUGCUCUCUGCUUCAGGCCUGGGUCUUCUCAAAUGUGUUUCAAUUUCUGCUUCAUAACCAAGGAAGAAACCUUACAAAGAUUUAAGACUUUAUCACAAAAUAUGCUCUCACAUGCUGCAACCAAAUAAUUGGACACUGUUUCUUUCAUAAGAGUGUUUUUUCUUCUCUCUGUGAAUAAUCACCUGCCAAUACUGCCCUUUGAAUUCCAGCUUCUGCAUUGGAAUAGCUGUAUUAACACCUGCUGGAGACAACCUGCUAGUCCUUGGCAGGCAGUGUAAUUUAAGAAGAAUCAAAAAAUACCAAGAAAAAAGAGAUCAUAAAAUUAUAAGCAGGCUGGAGAAUUCUGCCUCCUAAAAUGCUACUGCACCCAUGUUAACAAGCAAUUCAGAGGACUGAAGCUUUAAGAAUUUUUUGAAAAGCUAUGAGGAUUAAGCUUCAGGAAAGAAACCGACUCAGAUACCAGAAUGGCAAACCGUCUCAUGGCUGGUGUGUAUGGAAGAAUCGCUCCAGUGAACGUCUGUCUGCUGAGAAAGCAUCAGGGCACCUAUUGAAAGAACACAGUGGGCUUGUCAGCACAGCAGCUUUUCAGAGAGAACCACAAACACCCCGAAACAGCAG